Molecule: ribosomal RNA, 271 nt
Filed under: uncultured bacterium
Lineage: Bacteria
Description: partial 16S ribosomal RNA
Rfam family: Bacterial small subunit ribosomal RNA
Source: RNAcentral
UACGUAGGGGGCUAGCGUUGUCCGGAAUCAUUGGGCGUAAAGCGCGUGUAGGCGGUCCGGUAAGUCCGCUGUGAAAGUCGGGGGCUCAACCCUCGAAAGCCGGUGGAUACUGUCGGGCUAGAGUACGGAAGAGGCGAGUGGAAUUCCUGGUGUAGCGGUGAAAUGCGCAGAUAUCAGGAGGAACACCGGUGGCGAAGGCGGGUCUCUGGACCGAUACUGACGCUGAGGAGCGAAAGCGUGGGGAGCGAACAGGAUUAGAAACCCGAGUAGU